UCUACAUUGCUGAUUUCUAUCCCACUUCCCCCAUUUUUUCACUCUGCCCACAAGGCCAUGGGGAAGGACUUUGGCAGGUGUCUGAAUACACUGAGACCCAUUUUCUGUUAUCUUUGCACCUGAAAACCCUGAGGACAGCAAGAACAUGCUGAGUCUGCAUUCAGCCUGAGCCUAGGUCGUGCCCUGGCGCUUCUGACUUGACAGCCUCCAACUCAGCACGAAUGUCUCACCCUUUGCUGUGUCUUGUCCACUCUUCAAGUGCUCCCAGUGCCAUGCGGGAACUUCUAUGGGACUCUCCUCCGUGCCAGUGUGGAAAGUUCCCUCUCCUCCCCUCUUGCCCACUUCCCACGUGCUCACAUUUAGAGAGUCUCUUAAAAUCAAACUCCCCCAGUACGGAAGGGCUGCUGGCAGCCCCAGAUCCAGCCAGCUAGGCCUGAAGACUGGGCACACUGGAGCAAGGCUCUCAGCCCCUUGGGUAAUGGGGCUGCAUGCAAGAAGGAGGUGGAGGAUUGCAUUUGGCCCGGGGUCAUCCUGGGAGACCCAGGGCUCCUCCCUGCCGAGCUACCUGAGCAAUCUGGGGAGCCCACUGCUGCUGUUGGACCAGUCCCAGCAUCUCUGAGCGAUACUCUGUGACCUGGCUUCCUGGACCCUUCCCAGCGAGGAGAACCAAUCCACAUUUUUUGCUUCUACCAUGUCCACCUAAACAAUGACUUAUUUUUCCCUGCACUGCUUUAAAAUAUAUUAUGUAGGCUGGGGAUAUAGCUUAGUCGUGCAGCACCUACCUGGCAAGAGCAAGAUCCUGAGUUUGAUUCCUCACAUCCCCUCAAAAAUAUUUAUAUUACAGAAACUUAGUAUUUGAAAAAAAAAUUAUAUACCAAUUACAAAUAGAAAAAUGAAAGCUAAUUCCAAAAAGAAAUAUAUAUAAUUCCAUAACCUGGUGUUGGGGAGGCCAAGGGUUGUGGAGUGGAGCUGGGGCUCUCUGAGGUGGGGUGAUCGAUGGGGGGCCAUUGGCCAGUGUUUGCAACCCCGAUUUCUCCUGGGCCUCAUCUCAGAGGGUGCAGAGAAUGAGUCAGAGACACCUGCCUCCUCACGGGGUCAAACAGCUGCACCAGGCAAGGCUGGGCCUGAAUCCUUCCG
This 1137-nucleotide long non-coding RNA is filed under the name Chinchilla lanigera (long-tailed chinchilla). RNAcentral describes it as "lncRNA (ENSCLAG00000025402.1)". The record is from RNAcentral. Lineage: Eukaryota; Metazoa; Chordata; Mammalia; Rodentia; Chinchillidae.